GGGUUAGUAGCUUAGUUGGGAGAGCGCGGCACUGAAGAUGCCGAGGUCGCUGGUUCAAGUCCGGCCUAACCCACCA
Molecule: transfer RNA, 76 nt
Filed under: archaeon
Lineage: Archaea
Also listed under: 10 other names
Description: tRNA-Phe
Rfam family: tRNA
About the family: Transfer RNA (tRNA) molecules are approximately 80 nucleotides in length.
Source: RNAcentral